Molecule: transfer RNA, 57 nt
Filed under: Akysis sp. INHS 93579
Lineage: Eukaryota; Metazoa; Chordata; Actinopteri; Siluriformes; Akysidae
Description: partial tRNA-Ser
Source: RNAcentral
AAAGAGGCAAGACAGCAGUAAGGACUGCUAAUCCUUUACCCCCGGAGUUUAAAUCCC